Molecule: ribosomal RNA, 378 nt
Filed under: uncultured archaeon
Lineage: Archaea
Description: bacterial SSU rRNA
Rfam family: Archaeal small subunit ribosomal RNA
Source: RNAcentral
CCGACGGUGAGGGGUGAAAGCUGGGGGAGCAAACCGGAUUAGAUACCCGGGUAGUCCCAGCCGUAAACGAUGUGCGUUAGGUGUAUCGGUGACCACGAGUCACCGAGGUGCCGAAGAGAAAUCGUGAAACGUACCGCCUGGGAAGUACGGUCGCAAGGCUGAAACUUAAAGGAAUUGGCGGGGGAGCACCACAACAGGUGGAGCCUGCGGUUUAAUCGGACUCAACGCCGGGAAACUCACCAGAUAAGACAGCUGAAUGAUAGUCGGGCUGAAGACUCUACUUGACUAGCUGAGAGGAGGUGCAUGGCCGUCGUUAGUUCGUACUGUGAAGCAUCCUGUUAAGUCAGGCAACGAGCGAGACCCACGCCAACAGUUGCU